RNAcentral lists this unclassified non-coding RNA (231 nucleotides) under Hevea brasiliensis (rubber tree). Lineage: Eukaryota; Viridiplantae; Streptophyta; Magnoliopsida; Malpighiales; Euphorbiaceae. The record is from RNAcentral.
GGAUUGACCAUCUAAUGUAUUUUAGUCAAGAAGUAAUUGUGUGAAAGGGUGAAAAAGAGCAAUUAAGUGAAUUCAGCCACUUGAGCAGAACUUUUAAGCUUAUACAAUCACAUAUUCAAAAUUGUGAAGUCCUGAUUAUGUGACAGAUAACCGCCUUCUAUGACACCAUAUGAAUUGCAAGGGCUAGAUGUUUCCUACUUAUUGCUGAAACAGAAUGCAGCAACUUCCUUA